GAAAUGCGAUAAGUAAUGUGAAUUGCAGAAUUCAGUGAAUCAUCGAAUCUUUGAACGCACCUUGCGCUCCUUGGUAUUCCUUGGAGCAUGCCUGUUUGAGUAUCAUGAAAUCUUCAAAGUAAAUCUUUUGUUAACUCAAUUGGUUUCUACUUUGGUAUUGGAGGUCUUUGCAGCUUCACACCUGCUCCUCUUUGUUCAUUAGCUGGAUCUCAGUGUUAUGCUUGGUUCCACUCGGCGUGAUAAGUUAUCUAUCGCUGAGGACACUGUAAAAGGUGGCCAAGGUAAAUGCAGAUGAACCGCUUCUAAUAGUCCAUUGACUUGGACAAUACUUUUAUGAUCUAGUCUCAAAUCAGGUAGUACUACCCGCUGAACUUAAGC
This 378-nucleotide unclassified non-coding RNA is filed under the name plant metagenome. RNAcentral describes it as "partial contains 5.8S ribosomal RNA, internal transcribed spacer 2, and large subunit ribosomal RNA". The stretch from base 1 to 105 matches the Rfam family "5.8S ribosomal RNA", at positions 50 to 154 of the family's 154-position model. The record is from RNAcentral.